RNAcentral lists this ribosomal RNA (301 nucleotides) under uncultured bacterium. RNAcentral's name for it is "partial 16S ribosomal RNA". It matches the Rfam family "Bacterial small subunit ribosomal RNA", at positions 509 to 809 of the family's 1533-position model. The record is from RNAcentral.
CAGCAGCCGCGGGAAUACGGAGGGUGCAAGCGUUAAUCGGAAUUACUGGGCGUAAAGCGCACGCAGGCGGUCUGUCAAGUCAGAUGUGAAAUCCCCGGGCUUAACCUGGGAACUGCAUUUGAAACUGGCAGGCUAGAGUCUUGUAGAGGGGGGUAGAAUUCCAGGUGUAGCGGUGAAAUGCGUAGAGAUCUGGAGGAAUACCGGUGGCGAAGGCGGCCCCCUGGACAAAGACUGACGCUCAGGUGCGAAAGCGUGGGGAGCAAACAGGAUUAGAUACCCGUGUAGUCCCUGUCUCUUAUAU